RNAcentral lists this ribosomal RNA (640 nucleotides) under uncultured bacterium. RNAcentral's name for it is "bacterial SSU rRNA". It matches the Rfam family "Bacterial small subunit ribosomal RNA", at positions 397 to 1050 of the family's 1533-position model. The record is from RNAcentral.
CCGCGUGAGGGAAGAAUGCCUACGGGUUGUAAACCUCUUUUAUCAGGGAGGAAUAAAAUGACGUGUACCUGGUGAAUAAGCAUCGGCUAACUCUGUGCCAGCAGCCGCGGUAAGACAGAGGAUGCAAGUGUUAUCCGGAAUUACUGGGCGUAAAGCGUCUGUAGGUUGUUAAACAAGUCAACUGUUAAAUCUUGAAGCUCAACUUCAAAACCGCAGUCGAAACUGUUUGACUAGAGUAUAGUAGAGGUAAAGGGAAUUUCCAGUGGAGCGGAGAAAUGCGUAGAUAUUGGGAAGAACACCGAUGGCGAAAGCACUUUACUGGGCUAUUACUGACACUCAGAGACGACAGCUAGGGUAGCAAAUGGGAUUAGAUACCCCAGUAGUCCUAGCCGUAAACUAUGGAUACUAGAUGUUGAACAGAUCGACCUGUGCAGUAUUAAAGCUAACGCGUUAAGUAUCCCGCCUGGGAAGUAUGCUCGCAAGAGUGAAACUCAAAGGAAUUGACAGGGGCCCGCACAAGCGGUGGAGCAUGUGGUUUAAUUCGAUGCAACGCGAAGAACCUUACCAGGGUUUGACAUGAUACGAAUUCUUGUGAAAGCGAGAAGUGCCGUUUGGACCUAUACACAGGUGGUGCAUGGCU